This 494-nucleotide ribosomal RNA is filed under the name uncultured bacterium. Its description in RNAcentral is "partial 16S ribosomal RNA". It matches the Rfam family "Bacterial small subunit ribosomal RNA", at positions 28 to 507 of the family's 1533-position model. The record is from RNAcentral.
GACGAACGCUGGCGGCGUGCUUAACACAUGCAAGUCGAACGGAAAGGCCUGCUUUCCCUUGUGGGUUGCGGGUACGCGCGUGUCGAACGGGUGAGUAACACGUGAGUUAUCUUCCCCCAACUUGUGUAUAAGCCUGGGAAACUGGGGCUAAUUCCCGAUAGGACUGCAGGGUGGGUCCGGUGGUGGCAGAGGAUUUUCUUGGGGUUGGGGCUGAGCUGGCGGCAGGUGAGGUUGUUGGUGGGGUAAUGGACGACCAAGGCGGGGACGGGUAGCCGGCCUGGGAGGGUGGACGGGAGAAUUGGGACUGAGACACGGCCAAGACGCCAACGGGCAGCAGCCGUGGGGAAGCAUGCGCAAGGGGCGGAAGCCUGAUGCAGCGAGGCCGCGUGGGCGACGACGGGCUUCGGGUUGUAAACUCCUUGCGACCGAGAGCAAGCCACUUGGAUGAAGCGGUGGUGACGGUAGUGGUAGAAGAAGCACCGGCUAACUACGUG